Molecule: ribosomal RNA, 928 nt
Filed under: uncultured delta proteobacterium
Lineage: Bacteria; Deltaproteobacteria
Description: bacterial SSU rRNA
Rfam family: Bacterial small subunit ribosomal RNA
Source: RNAcentral
AGAGUUUGAUCAUGGCUCAGAACGAACGCUGGCGGCGUGCUUAACACAUGCAAGUCGAACGCGAAAGCUUUCUUCGGAAAGCGAGUAGAGUGGCGCACGGGUGAGUAACGCGUAAGUAAUCUACCCUGGUAUCUGGGAUAACCCACCGAAAGGUGUGCUAAUACCGGAUACGCUGAUUUAUCAGGAAAGGUGGCCUCUUCAUGAAAGCUACUGUACCAGGAGGAGCUUGCGUACCAUUAGCUAGUUGGUAGGGUAAUGGCCUACCAAGGCAACGAUGGUUAGCGGGUCUGAGAGGAUGAUCCGCCACACUGGAACUGGAACACGGACCAGACUCCUACGGGAGGCAGCAGUGAGGAAUAUUGCGCAAUGGGGGAAACCCUGACGCMGCGACGCCGCGUGGAUGAUGAAGGCCUUCGGGUCGUAAAAUCCUGUCAGAUGGAAAGAAAUGCAUAUGUAUUAAUACUACGUAUGUUUGACGGUACCAUCAAAGGAAGCACCGGCUAACUCCGUGCCAGCAGCCGCGGUAAUACGGAGGGUGCAAGCGUUGUUCGGAAUUACUGGGCGUAAAGCGCGCGUAGGCGGUUUGUUAAGUCAGAUGUGAAAGUCCACGGCUCAACCGUGGAAGUGCAUUUGAAACUGGCAGACUUGAGUACUGGAGGGGGUGGUGGAAUUCCCGGUGUAGAGGUGAAAUUCGUAGAUAUCGGGAGGAAUACCGGUGGCGAAGGCGACCACCUGGCCAGAUACUGACGCUGAGGUGCGAAAGCGUGGGGAGCAAACAGGAUUAGAUACCCUGGUAGUCCACGCCGUAAACGAUGUCAACUAGGUGUUGGGGAGGUUAAUCUUCUCAUUGCCGCAGCUAACGCAUUAAGUUGACCGCCUGGGGAGUACGGUCGCAAGAUUAAACUCAAGGGAAUUGACGGGGGCCCGC